This 429-nucleotide ribosomal RNA is filed under the name Bacteroidota bacterium. Its description in RNAcentral is "Bacteroidetes bacterium partial 16S ribosomal RNA". It matches the Rfam family "Bacterial small subunit ribosomal RNA", at positions 355 to 776 of the family's 1533-position model. Lineage: Bacteria; Pseudomonadati; Bacteroidota. The record is from RNAcentral.
UAGGGAAUCUUCCGCAAUGGACGCAAGUCUGACGGAGCAACGCCGCGUGAGUGAAGAAGGAUUUCGGUUCGUAAAACUCUGUUGUUAGAGAAGAACAGCGCAUAGAGUAACUGUUAUGCGUGUGACGGUAUCUAACCAGAAAGCCACGGCUAACUACGUGCCAGCAGCCGCGGUAAUACGUAGGUGGCAAGCGUUGUCCGGAUUUAUUGGGCGUAAAGCGAGCGCAGGCGGUCAAUUAAGUCUGAUGUGAAAGCCCCCGGCUCAACCGGGGAGAGUCAUUGGAAACUGGUUGACUUGAGUGCAGAAGAGGAGAGUGGAAUUCCAUGUGUAGCGGUGAAAUGCGUAGAUAUAUGGAGGAACACCAGUGGCGAAGGCGACUCUCUGGUCUGUAACUGACGCUGAGGCUCGAAAGCGUGGGUAGCAAACAGG